GCAGUCGUGGCCUAGGGGUUGGGGCUUUAGGCUGGGAACCGAAGAGUUGCCGGUCCGAUCCCCGACCAGUGGG
Molecule: transfer RNA, 73 nt
Filed under: Alosa alosa (allis shad)
Lineage: Eukaryota; Metazoa; Chordata; Actinopteri; Clupeiformes; Clupeidae
Description: tRNA-OTHER
Source: RNAcentral